This is a long non-coding RNA of Perca flavescens (yellow perch), 606 nucleotides long. RefSeq lists it as uncharacterized. The record is from RefSeq and is a predicted model, not a curated record. The transcript is spliced from 3 exons. Lineage: Eukaryota; Metazoa; Chordata; Actinopteri; Perciformes; Percidae.
UCUGACCCUGUACCUGUCUGUCUCUCAGUUCACCAGUGGGGGACAGAGGAGGUGGGGGCGUGGCUGGACUUCCUGUGUCUCUCUGAGUAUAAAGACAUCUUCAUCGGACACGACGUCCGCGGAGCCGAACUCAUCCACCUGGAGAGGAGGGACCUGAAGGAUCUGGGUGUAACUAAAGUAGGUCACAUUAAGAGGAUCCUUCAGGGAAUCCGAGAGAUCAACAGGAACAGCAGCGCCAGCGAGGCCUGAAGACUCCGUCAGAUGCAGCGAUGUGAUAACGGACGUUUCCUCUGACCCUGAACACAGCCGCCGUGACAUCACAUCUGACGCUCGCUGUGAUUGGACCAAUCACAGGACCCGCUAGUGCCUUGUCAUCUCCCCCUGGAGGCGGAGAGAGGCGGGGCCUAACAUGGACCCAGCGCCACCUUUAUUGACUUUGUGUUUCCUUUAGAACAAGUCGAGUUCAGAGACUCUGUCUGUGUGGACAGGAGCCCUGUUUGGGUCUCCUGUCUUUACAAUCUGCACAAUCGCUCUUCAUGUGUCUCUGUCUUUCUGUCUUUCAUGUCUUCAUGUGUCUCUGUCUUUCUGUCUUUCAUGUCUUCAUGU